This 301-nucleotide ribosomal RNA is filed under the name uncultured bacterium. RNAcentral describes it as "partial 16S ribosomal RNA". It matches the Rfam family "Bacterial small subunit ribosomal RNA", at positions 509 to 808 of the family's 1533-position model. The record is from RNAcentral.
CAGUCGCCGCGGUAAUACGUAGGUCCCGAGCGUUGUCCGGAUUUAUUGGGCGUAAAGCGAGCGCAGGCGGUUAGAUAAGUCUGAAGUUAAAGGCUGUGGCUUAACCAUAGUACGCUUUGGAAACUGUUUAACUUGAGUGCAAGAGGGGAGAGUGGAAUUCCAUGUGUAGCGGUGAAAUGCGUAGAUAUAUGGAGGAACACCGGUGGCGAAAGCGGCUCUCUGGCUUGUAGCUGACACUGAGGCUCGAAAGCGUGGGGAGCAAACAGGAUUAGAUACCCGAGUAGUCCCUGUCUCUUAUACA